Molecule: ribosomal RNA, 483 nt
Filed under: uncultured eukaryote
Lineage: Eukaryota
Description: SSU rRNA
Rfam family: Eukaryotic small subunit ribosomal RNA
Source: RNAcentral
AAGGACACACCAGAGGUGNAGCCUGCGGUUUAAUUUGACUCAACACGGGGAAACUCACCAGGUCCAGACAUGAGAAGGAUUGACAGUUUGAAAGCACUUUCUUGAUUUCAUGGGUGGUGGUGCAUGGCCGUUCUUAGUUGGUGGAGUGAUUUGUCUGGUUGAUUCCGAUAACGAACGAGACUCUCAGAGUAAACUGGCCCAGGUCGUAAUUCGCGUUACUUCCGGCCUCUUUUCUCGACAAUUCGUUUUAAACGAAAGGAAGCGGAGAGCAAUAACAGGUCUGUGAUGCCCCUCGAUGUUCUGGGCUACACGCGCGCUACAAUGACGAGUUCAACGAGUUAUUUCUCCUUGCCCGGAAGGGUGUGGGUAAUCUUUUCAAUGCUCGUCGUGAUGGGGCUAGAUUUUUGCAAUUAUUAAUCUUCAACGAGGAAUCUCUAGUAUGUGCAGUUCAUCAGACUGCGCAGAAUGCGUCCCUGCCCUUUG